GCGGAGGCGCUUCGCCGCCGGCGGCGAGGACAACUUCUUUUUGGCUUUCUUAUAAGAUUUGCAUCUGCUACAUUGGUGCUGGGGAAACAGCAUUCAGUUUUCACCUUCGCCUGAUUGCAUAGUCAUAGAAUCUCUGAGAAGCAUUGAUCUAAAGGAUGCACCUAACGUUUUCAUGCCUUACAGGGAGGCCAAGCACAUCAACGAAGACAUCGUCAAGAGGAGGACUAACCUCAUGUCUCAUCGUUCCCUGCUUGUUCGAUUCAACACAAGUCGAAGCUUCCUCGGAGCCUUGUCUUCACAGUUACCCAAUGAACUUAUCAAUCUUCCUGUCACUGUC
Molecule: long non-coding RNA, 337 nt
Filed under: Vitis vinifera (wine grape)
Lineage: Eukaryota; Viridiplantae; Streptophyta; Magnoliopsida; Vitales; Vitaceae
Description: long non-coding RNA (VVIN_LNC002467)
Source: RNAcentral